UAGCAAAUCUCUUAAAGCCGUUCUCAGUUCGGAUUGUAGGCUGCAACUCGCCUACAUGAAGUCGGAAUCGCUAGUAAUCGCGGAUCAGCAUGCCGCGGUGAAUACGUUCCCGGGCCUUGUACACACCGCCCGUCACACCAUGAGAGUUUGUAACACCCAAAGCCGGUGGGGUAACCUUUGGAGCCAGCCGUCUAAGGUGGGACAGAUGAUUGGGGUGAAGUCGUAACAAGGUAUC
This 235-nucleotide ribosomal RNA is filed under the name uncultured bacterium. Its description in RNAcentral is "partial 16S ribosomal RNA". It matches the Rfam family "Bacterial small subunit ribosomal RNA", at positions 1265 to 1500 of the family's 1533-position model. The record is from RNAcentral.